GAACUGUGGUGCCCAGAACUGGACACAGUACUCCAGGUGAGGUCUGACCAGAGCAGAAUACAGUGGCACUAUUACUUCCCUUGAUCUAGAUGCUAUACUCCUAUUGAUGCAGCCCAGAAUUGCAUUGGCUUUUUCCUUGGACUUUAUGACAAUAAAAACAUAUAGAAGGUUAAUAGUAAUAGGAUAUGUUAUUGCCACCAGGAACUGUGCUUUGCAAUUUUUUGAUAUGACAAUUACAGUUUUAUUAUAUAUAAUGUUAUGUUACUUUACGGGGAUGCAGGUGGUGCUGUGGUCUAAACCACAGAGCCUAGGGCUUGCUGAUCAGAAGGUUGGCGGUUCGAAUCCCCGUGACAGGGUGAGCUACCAUUGCUCGGUCCCUGCUCCUGCCAACCUAGCAGUUCAAAAGCACGUCAAAAUGCAAUUAGAUAAAUAGGUACUGCUCUGGCGGGAAGGUAAAUGGCGUUUCCGUGCACUGCUCUGGUUCGCCAGAAGCGGCUUAGUCAUGCUGGCCACAUGACCCAGAAGCUGUACGCCGGCUCCCUCGGCCAGUAAAGCGAGAUGAGCGCCGCAACCCCAGAGUCGGCCACGACUGGACCUAACGGUCAGGGGUCCCUUUACCUUUACCUCCCCUUGUGGCAGAUAUUAAUGUUGCGCAGCUUGAAGCAAUUGGGUACACAAAAGCUACAAUAAAAGGAAACCCAUUAGCUUUACUAAUCAGAAAUUCUUCAAAGCAAGUACAAAACAAUCCAUGAUACACCCAGAGAAUUGCAUAAAGCAGAGGGUUUCAACCUUUUCCAAUUCUAGGAUUGCCCUGGCCCGAGUGGUCCUUUGCUCAUUGAUUCCCAGAAAACAUCUCUCCAGCAGCUGCUGACAUUACGUCCAACUGAGGGGAUCAUUUCCAUUCUCCAUGCUUGGCAAAGUUGUCUCUUUCCUCCGUGCCUUUUAUGCAACCACUUCCUGGCAGGCCCCUUCACAAAUCGUGAUGUCAUGGGAGCACAUUUUUGGGAGAAUGAAAGGCGCUUCUGUCACAGACCUGAUCCACGGACCGACACACACACCCCGCUCCCCACUGACAGCGCAACCAGGGGGAAAUGCAUUUGGAGGUACGAGCUUUUGGAUUUGUUCAGACCCCCCCCCAUUCCAAUACACUGGAGAGAAUCUUUGCACGUAAUCCUAAAAGCACAUUUAAAGCCUCUUCCGUGCUGAUGUGUCUGUCAAUGUGCCUAUCAACGUGGGAGGACAGGAAGCAGAAGGAUAUCAUUAUAAUUUCUCAAGUUUCCCUACAGAUCUGUCAGCAGGGGUAUUUAUUUGUACACAGCUAUUCUUUGGGGAGCGCGGAAAAGUUACGGGAUGCGGAAGUGGCUGCGGUAUUCAGCAGCUUUCAUUUUAUAAAAAUAAAAAUAAAACCGCACGCAUCAGGUUUCUAGUCCUUGUGAUUGCAGACCCAAAAACAGCUCUUCUCAGAAAGAAGACCCAUUGAAAAUGGUUCAGGUGAUGCCUGAGGCAAAGGAUCCAGUGCAGACUGAGUCUCCACUGGUUCCGAGUCCAAGCCCGAGUCCCAGGCCACCACACUUGAAACCAUUUGUUCAGGUUCUACCUUCCAGAGCAGGAGAAAACAAGCUUGCUCCAUCUUCCAUGUGGCAACCCUUCAGAUAUUUGAAGAUGGCUCUCAUAUCUCCUUUCUGUCUCCUUUUUUCCAGGCUAAACACACAAGGUUCCCUCCAGGUAGAUGUACUGUGUGUGGCUCAUCUGGAGAUACACCUGGCCUGUAGCAGAAACUCCUUCCACCUUUCUGGGUGUGGCUCCUUCCAUAGCUGAGUGGGAACUAGUCGUUUUCCCUUUGCUCCAGAGGCCAGGCCCAAACCAGUGGAUUCCUAUGACGGAAAAGGAGAGUCCAGCUAAAUUUAGGAAGAACUUUCUGAUGGCAAGAGCUCUUUGACAGUGGAACGGACUCUCUCAGAAGGUGGUGGACUCUCCUUCCUUGGAGCUCUUUAAGGAGAGGUGAGAUGGUCACCUGUCCUGGAUCCUUUAGUUGAGAUUCCGGCAUUGCAAAGGGGUUGGACUAGAUCAGGCUUCCUCAGCCUCGGCCCUCCAGAUAUUUUGAGACUACAAUUCCCAUCAUCCCUGACCACUGGUCCUGCUAGCUAUGGAUCAUGGGAGUUGUAGUCCAAAAACAUCUGGAGGGCCUAGGUUGAGGAAGCCUGCACUAGAUGAUCCAACUCUACAAGCCCUAUACGGCCUAGGACCCUUGUACCUACAGGACCGCCUCUCCUGGUAUGUCCCAUGGAGGACCUUACAGUCUUCAAAUAAAAACAUCUUGGAGGUCCCGGGCCACAGGGAGGUUAGGCUGGCCUCAACCAGAGCCAGGGCUUUUUCGGCCGUGGCCCCGAUCUGGUGGAACACUCUGUCACAAGAGACUAGGGCCCUGCAGGACUUGACAUCUUUCCGCAGGGCCUGCAAGACAGAGCUGUUCCACCAGGCCUUUGGCCAAGGCACAGUCUGACCCCCUCCUUUGUUGAUCCUCUUAGAACUCUGGCCCAGUGGUUGCCAUUUGAUUUUGAAUUGAUUUUAUAAUAUUGUUUUUAGAAUGCUUUGUUACUGUCAGGGAACUGCCAUCAGUGCCAGAGGGAGAGAGCAAAAUCCAGAGGGAUUCCAGAGAGCGUCCCGGGAUUGGGAGAGGCAGCCCAUCUUCUGGGGAAGAGAAUCAGCGUAGCCACAGUGGAGAAGGGG
Podarcis lilfordi (Lilford's wall lizard) is the source of this 2730-nucleotide non-coding RNA. The record is from the annotation of a GenBank genome assembly. NCBI's taxonomy places the organism in Eukaryota, Metazoa, Chordata, Lepidosauria, Squamata, Lacertidae.